RNAcentral lists this ribosomal RNA (497 nucleotides) under uncultured bacterium. Its description in RNAcentral is "partial 16S ribosomal RNA". It matches the Rfam family "Bacterial small subunit ribosomal RNA", at positions 28 to 507 of the family's 1533-position model. The record is from RNAcentral.
GAUGAACGCUGGCGGCGUGCCUAAUACAUGCAAGUCGAGCGAACGGACGAGAAGCUUGCUUCUCUGAUGUUAGCGGCGGACGGGUGAGUAACACGUGGAUAACCUACCUAUAAGACUGGGAUAACUUCGGGAAACCGGAGCUAAUACCGGAUAAUAUUUUGAACCGCAUGGUUCAAAAGUGAAAGACGGUCUUGCUGUCACUUAUAGAUGGAUCCGGGCUGCAUUAGCUAGUUGGUAAGGUAACGGCGUACCAAGGCAACGAUGCAUAGCCGACCUGAGAGGGUGAUCGGCCACACUGGAGCUGAGACACGGUCCAGACUCCUACGGGAGGCAGCAGUAGGGAAUCUUCCGCAAUGGGCGAAAGCCUGACGGAGCAACGGCGCGUGAGUGAUGAAGGUCUUCGGAUCGUAAAACUCUGUUAUUAGGGAAGAACAUAUGUGUAAGUAACUGUGCACAUCUUGACGGUAACUAAUCAGAAAGCCACGGCUAACUACGUG